AUACGUAGGGGGCAAGCGUUGUCCGGAUUUAUUGGGCGUAAAGGGCGCGCAGGCGGCCUUUUAAGUCAGUUGUGAAAGGUCUCGGCUCAACCGAGGAGUUGCAGCUGAAACUGGAAGGCUUGAGUGCAGGAGAGGAGAGCGGAAUUCUCGGUGUAGCGGUGGAAUGCGUAGAGAUCGGGAGGAACACCAGUGGCGAAGGCGGCUCUCUGGCCUGUAACUGACGCUGAGGCGCGAAAGCGUGGGGAGCAAACAGGAUUAGAUACCCUGGUAGUCCACGCCGUAAACGAUGAGUGCUAGGUGUUGGGGGCUUUUAUGCCCUCAGUGCCGAAGGAAACCCAAUAAGCACUCCGCCUGGGGAGUACGGCCGCAAGGCUGAA
Molecule: ribosomal RNA, 377 nt
Filed under: uncultured bacterium
Lineage: Bacteria
Description: bacterial SSU rRNA
Rfam family: Bacterial small subunit ribosomal RNA
Source: RNAcentral